Paramuricea clavata is the source of this 234-nucleotide non-coding RNA. NCBI's taxonomy places the organism in Eukaryota, Metazoa, Cnidaria, Anthozoa, Malacalcyonacea, Plexauridae. The record is from the annotation of a GenBank genome assembly.
CAAACGGUUUAAAGCCUUGGACCAGCUUGGUCAAACGAUCAGUUGAGGCCAUGCGAUACAGCGAGGAUUAAUUUAGGGUCGAUGAUAAUAAUUGACAAGCGCGGAGAGUUUGCAUGAGAGUUUUCUCAACGUUCAUGCCCCGUCAAACGCGAGCGAGAUGCAACUCUCAUCAAGUAUCAUUUGACUAAGUCCAAGGCUUAAAACACGUAUAUUAUUUUCUUUUCAUGCUCAGCG